Molecule: long non-coding RNA, 426 nt
Organism: Telopea speciosissima
Lineage: Eukaryota; Viridiplantae; Streptophyta; Magnoliopsida; Proteales; Proteaceae
Exons: 2
Source: RefSeq, a predicted model, not a curated record
AUUAGCACGAGCAUAUAAGAAGCCACUCUCUCCCUCUCCAAUCAAUCAGGUCAAGCAAUAGCAUUAUCCACAUGCAUGCUUAGAGGACUGUGAAGCAUACAUGAUUGACUGAAGCAUUGAAGCUCAUAUCACCCUUGCCACAUUUUUUUACCACAAAUUAUCAUAGUUGACUUCUGGUCUGCAAUGUAUUGCUUCAACAUUGCACCAUUCAACUCUUACCAACAUAUUAUGCAACUUCAGGGAUAGCCGGUAGUCACAACUUUUGCACCCAAAACACAAAUACCUCAAAUUUGAAAACCCAUGUUCCCAAAUUACAUUGACACAUUAGUCUAAGGAAAGAAGGUCAAUGGUAGCUCCAGGCAUAAACAAGAACCAGGAAAAAGAGAAUCCUUUGACUUGAUUGACAUGAAGUUGUAGUAUAAGUUA